CAACUGGAUCUGGAAGUUUCAAACUAUAGCAUUAAGUACAUUCUUUUAUAUGUGUGUGCUUGUUGAACAAGAAUAAUGGUGAAAUGUUGGGGAUAAAGUAGGGCUCACAUGGAUUGCAGGCACCUGUCAUACCUGAGGCUGUUGAGGUUUUCAUAUAAUUACAGAAUAUCCAAGUGCCUCCUUACUCUAUACUGGAGCCUUCUACUCCAGGGUUAGUAGACCACAUAAAUGUUCCCCAUUGCACCCAAAUGAAUCUGUAAAGCAGCGGUUCUCAAAGGGUGUGGCUAGAAGAUUCAAGGACAAUCAAAUAUUUAAACAUUUCAGUGUAGUAUAGUAUCAAAAAAAUUUUAUUUGCAGACUAUGGAUAAAUAUAUUUACAAAAACACUAAUUUGAGUUUCUUUUCCCCCAAUGUAUUUCUUGCCAAACAAUUUGGUAUGGCGUGAGCAAGUUUUUAUUCUGGAAGUGUGGCCGAAAGAAAAACAUUUUAGAACCACUGGUUCAGUUGUAGGCCAUUCUCAGAGUCCUGUGACUGAAGGGUGGCUUACAGAGUGACGAACAACAAAAUAAAGGAUGUGAUACCUUGAAGCCAUCAAGCCACACAGGCCAUUGCUGGUAGCUGUUUUUGUCAAGCUCCUCAACAAAGAUGGGGUAAUCAUACUUCAGCCAUUGGGCCCCAAAGUAACAUGCCCCAGGUGGAUUGAAGCAGAAUUGGGCAAUUGUCAAGCCAGACCAUGGUAAGUUCAUGCCUCUGUCCAAUGCAAACUGGAAUACCACAGAGUUUAGAUGUCAGUCUGGAUAAGAGCACUGUACACACACACACACACACACACACACACAGCCAAGGCUUAAUUUGCUCACAAACAUGAAAGACUAAAUUUGUUUCUCAACUAUACCAUUUCAAAUUACUCUGACAUGCCAGUUUUCUGUGAGCAGGGAAUUUUUGUCCUUAGCAGUAUGAAGUAAUACAGCUAAGAAAGUCAACUUGUUUAGAAAAUUAAGAAUACUAGUGGUUGUCUUCAGAAGUUGAUAAAUGCCUGUUAAUCAACAUGUACCUAAAGGCACAGCAACAGACCAGGUUAAAGGUUGAUAACUAUUUUCAAGUGCAGAAAUUUCUUAAGACUGGUUAUAAGGAGGCAGAAUUCCUUAUUUCCAUAUCUCUGUAUAGUAUUCUAUCCCAGUCAUGUAUAAAAUUUUGUGUUAAACAGGGCAUUUCUGUGAAUGUGAUAGCUAUUCACCUUGAUGCCAUAGGUGGGAAUGUAUCUGGAGACAUAGGUGAGGCUGAAAGGCUGUGGACUGCUGCCUGGCACCCGGGUUAGUUUCUGAUGGAUCCAAGUGACAAUCUCCUCAUCUGUGCUUAAACUCUUAGGACCUUCAAGCUGGUGAACUAUUUCCCGCACUGAAACAACAGACCUGUGUGAAACAAAAAGCUGUUUUUGCUGUGGCCCACAGUUAUGGAAUUCUAUAAUUAUUUCCUACCAAAGUGUGUUGAUGCAUGGGGCGAGACCCUUGGCUCACCCUUCUGUUAAUCUGAUUUGAAUGUAAGAUGGACUGUUGUUUUGUAAGGUUCCUUCUGCCCUUUGAUUAAAAAAAAAAUCCAA
Long non-coding RNA from Podarcis muralis (Common wall lizard), 1599 nucleotides. RefSeq lists it as uncharacterized. NCBI's taxonomy places the organism in Eukaryota, Metazoa, Chordata, Lepidosauria, Squamata, Lacertidae. The record is from RefSeq and is a predicted model, not a curated record.